UGCCAGGCAGGGACCGCCUGCGACACUUCGCUGGAAACGCGGGACGCAGGUUUACAGAAGACUUGUGUUUUCCUUGACCGAGUUCAAAAGUGCCAGGACAUGCAGAACUAGACCUGCAGGACCUACGUCUCCUUCAACCGUAGUGAUUUGAGUCUCUGGAAGCAUCUCCAAAUGAGGUUGACGGUGGCCUCUCGGGCACCAGCGGGGAACGAGGCGGCCGCAGAACAGUGUCUCCGCGGAUUCGUUUCCUCUUUGUUUUUAAGGUACAAAAGGAGGAUCGAUGAUUCGGUUUCCUGAUGGAGUAAGGACUGCCAGCAGGAAAGUGAUAGAUGAGAAUGCACGCGAGCGUAUCCUAUGACGCGUUAAAACAUAUGCAACUUAUUUUGGCAAUAUUGUCUUCUGUUGUUGUGGCCCGUUUCCCAUCACACCUGCAAGCUCCUUGAAAUCAGAAGCACGAGUCUCAGAGUUGAUGGAAUCGCCCCAGAGUGACUAACGUUGCCUUAUAAGUUGAAAGUGUAUGUGGCUUGUUGACGCUUCAGAACGUCAGUCCUUUCUUCCGGCUAACGUCUCUCGUAGGUGUGGAAGAGACACAUUGCAAAAAAAAAAAAAAAAAAAAAAAAAGGCAACGUCUACUCAGGCAACUCAAAGGCUCUGUCGUGAACAGAUCGCUUGAAGGAGCAUGGGAAGUCCACCGUCCUGAGUCAGGCUUGCUGGUUUCCACUCGUUUUGUCUCCAUGCUUUCCUGGGGCGUCCAGCACCUGCCCUCUGCCCGCCACAGCCUCCACUGCCAGUAAAUCUACAAAGAAGACAUUAUCAACCACAUUUACAAAUCAAGAUUCAGGACCCAGAGAUGAGGUAGGUGUCUAAGGGAAAGAGAAGACACAGAAGGGACAGGAUGGGAACCAUCCUCCCCUCUCUGGCCAUGAAGGACCGGUUUGGAGCCUGUGAGGACAGAAGGUGAAGGACCAGUGCCAUGAAAUACUGGACGGGAAUAAGUCCAUGCAGCACUGCCUCUUUCCUAGGAAACAAAAUCAGUACGGGCUUGAGGAGAAGCCAUUCCUCUUCCCGACCUACCAUCCACAGGUGGCCGUCACUUUGGUCCCAAGGGGUCCGUUGGGAUAAAGUCUUACUGAGGUACCAGCUGCAGGGGUCAUGACAAGUGCCCUUGACCAAGAGGCUCAAGUGGAAGGAAUGUGAGCAAAUUCGUUCCUGGCCCCACAGGAGAUGUCACCGCCCUGAGGACACCCAGAAGUAGCUGGGGAAGAAUUUAAGCCAACAAGAAGAGCAUGGAGGUUAAGGUCUUACCAACAGGUGAAGAUCUGGAGCCAUGGAGACAUGGGUGUAAAUAUUAAUUGACCUUAUGUAUACUCACAAGCUAUUGAAACCUAGGAGGUGUGGAAAUAAUUGCUAAUCCACUGUUCUUUCUUUGGACUCUACCUCCCUGGCUCUAUUCUGGGGUUACUGCCACCAAAUCCAUGACUCCAUCAGAAGUCAGGGCUGGCAGGUUUGCUUCGCCCUCUACUGCGCACCUGCUCUUCCCUGUCUGGGCUGUUUUCAUACAAUUGGACUCAGCUUAUCUGCCUGCUCUCCUGAAGACUGGACUCUGCUCUCUCAUCUGAAUCUCUGUUACUUCGAUUAUGGGAUAGUAGGAAAUAAAUAUUUGGUCUUUGCCUCUGGGUCCUGGCACAGAGCCCCUAAAACUCUCGGAAUUUCCUGAGUGAUAAGAGUGUUUUCUGUAUGCUGAGGGCAGGGCCCCCAGAUAGCCUCAGAUGGGGUUGAGGAGGGGAGUUUUUCACCCCAGGAACCAACGAUUAGAGGGUAGGAACUUUCUGACCCGUUCUGAUCUCCUGGGAGGGGAGACAGACUAGAGAUUGACUCCAACCACCAACGGCCAAUGAUUUAAUCAAUCGCACCAACAUGAUGAGCCUUAGCUGGGAACUCUGGAACGACCACCAAGCUGCAGAGUUUCCAGGCUGGUAAGCACAUGGAGGUGCUGGGAUGGGACGUGCACCUGGAGAAGGCCCGGGAGCUCUGCACACCUGCUGCCCCCAAAUCUUGACCUAUGCAUCUCUGCCAUGAGCUGUUCCCGAGUUGUAUUCUUUAUAAUAAACUGUAGCCAUAAGUGAAGAGCUUUCUGGGUUCUGAGUCAGUCUAGUGAAUUACUGAACCUGAGGGCAGGGGUCCUGGGAAUCCCUGAAUUUGUAGUGGGGGUAGCCCAGGGAUCCCGCCCCUGCUGGCACCUCAAGUGAAGGCGAUCCCGCAGGACUGAGCCUGUAACCGUGGGGUCUGUGCUAACUCUGGGUCGUUAGUGUUGGAAUCAACUUGAAUUGCUGGACACCCAGGAGGUACUGGAGAAUUAGGGGACCGAUGGUUGUUGGAAAGAUCCUCAUCAGGUUGUCGACAUUCAUCUUAAAUGACAUUCCGACACUGCCAGGUGGUCAGGACAUUCUCCCAGCCUGCCUGGACAGACUGACACAUGAACCAGCAUAGAGCUGUCAGGUAAGGGCCUCCUACACACAGCCCUCCUGGCCAGAACUGCUGUCAUCUCUCACCUGGGUUGUGACAGCAAACCAUAAUGGGUUUCCCCGCCUCUAUCCCUGCCCUCCACACAGCAGCUAGAGGGACCCUUUUACAAAGUAAGUCAGACCGUGUCACCCCCUGCAAUGGGUUCCCAUCUCCUUCACGGCUUCCUCUUCAACCAUGACUUUGACUCCCUGGCCCUCAGUCCCUCCCCGCCAGCACACCAGUCUCCUCCCUGUUCUUGGAACAUGCCAAGCAGCUCCCAGCUACGGGAUCUGCAUGUGCUCCCCUGUCUGGAACAUUCUUCCCCUAAAUAGCUUAUGACUAAUUCACUCACCUCCUUCAAGUGUUUGCUCAAGUUUCAUCUCCAAGAGGUCUUUCCUGAGCAUCCUAUUUAAAACUGUGACACAUGUUCCUAUGAUACCCCAUUGGACUCCCACCUCCUUUUCCUGCCCACUGUUCCUUUUGUUCCAUUGUAUGAAGUACCAUAUAAUUUAAUUAUGUAUUAUGUUUACUGUGUACUGUCUUCCUCUGUUAGAAAGGAAAAGUCACAAAAGUCGGUAUCUACAUCCAUUUCAUUCCCUUACAUAUUCUAAAGACCAGGCAUAAUAGCAGA
This is a long non-coding RNA of Mesoplodon densirostris (Blainville's beaked whale), 3136 nucleotides long. RefSeq lists it as uncharacterized. NCBI's taxonomy places the organism in Eukaryota, Metazoa, Chordata, Mammalia, Artiodactyla, Ziphiidae. The transcript has 4 exons. The record is from RefSeq and is a predicted model, not a curated record.